AUUGAACGCUGGCGGCAUGCCUUACACAUGCAAGUCGAACGGCAGCACGGGAGCAAUCCUGGUGGCGAGUGGCGAACGGGUGAGUAAUAUAUCGGAACGUGCCCAGUCGUGGGGGGUAACGCAGCGAAAGCUGUGCUAAUACCGCAUACGAUCUAAGGAUGAAAGCGGGGGAUCGCAAGACCUCGCGCGAUUGGAGCGGCCGAUAUCAGAUUAGCUAGUUGGUGGGGUAAAGGCCCACCAAGGCGACGAUCUGUAGCUGGUCUGAGAGGACGACUAGCCAGACUGGAACUGCGACACGGUCCAGACUCCUACGGGAGGCAGCAGUGGGGAAUUUUGGACAAUGGGCGCAAGCCUGAUCCAGCAAUGCCGCGUGCAGGAUGAAGGCCUUCGGGUUGUAAACUGCUUUUGUACGGAACGAAACGGCCCUUUCUAAUACAGGGGGCUAAUGACGGUACCGUAAGAAUAAGCACCGGCUAACUACGUGCCAGCCGCCGCAGUAA
RNAcentral lists this ribosomal RNA (500 nucleotides) under uncultured bacterium. RNAcentral describes it as "partial 16S ribosomal RNA". It matches the Rfam family "Bacterial small subunit ribosomal RNA", at positions 30 to 523 of the family's 1533-position model. The record is from RNAcentral.